GACGAACGCUGGCGGCGUGCUUAACACAUGCAAGUCGAACGGAAAGGCCCUGCUUUUGUGGGGUGCUCGAGUGGCGAACGGGUGAGUAACACGUGAGUAACCUGCCCUUGACUUUGGGAUAACUUCAGGAAACUGGGGCUAAUACCGGAUAGGAGCCCCUGCUGCAUGGUGGGGGUUGGAAAGUUUCGGCGGUUGGGGAUGGACUCGCGGCUUACCAGCUUGUUGGUGGGGGAGUGGCUUACCAAGGCUUUGACGGGUAGCCGGCCUGAGAGGGUGACCGGCCACAUUGGGACUGAGGUACGGCCCAGACUCCUACGGGGGGCAGCAGUGGGGAAUAUUGCACAAUGGGCGGAAGCCUGAUGCAGCAGCGCCGCGUGCGGGAUGACGGCCUUCUGGUUGUAAACCGCUUUCGCCUGUGACGAAGCGUGAGUGACGGUAAUGGGUAAAGAAGCACCGGCUAACUACGUG
RNAcentral lists this ribosomal RNA (468 nucleotides) under uncultured bacterium. RNAcentral's name for it is "partial 16S ribosomal RNA". It matches the Rfam family "Bacterial small subunit ribosomal RNA", at positions 28 to 507 of the family's 1533-position model. The record is from RNAcentral.